UACGUAGGGUGCGAGCGUUAAUCGGAAUUACUGGGCGUAAAGCGUGCGCAGGCGGUUUUGUAAGCCAGAUGUGAAAUCCCCGGGCUUAACCUGGGAAUGGCAUUUGGGACUGCAAGGCUCGAGUGCGGCAGAGGAGACUGGAAUUCCUGGUGUAGCAGUGAAAUGCGUAGAUAUCAGGAGGAACACCGAUGGCGAAGGGCAGGUCUCUGGGCUGACACUGACGCUCAUG
This 229-nucleotide ribosomal RNA is filed under the name uncultured bacterium. Its description in RNAcentral is "partial 16S ribosomal RNA". It matches the Rfam family "Bacterial small subunit ribosomal RNA", at positions 524 to 751 of the family's 1533-position model. The record is from RNAcentral.